Molecule: ribosomal RNA, 483 nt
Filed under: uncultured bacterium
Lineage: Bacteria
Description: partial 16S ribosomal RNA
Rfam family: Bacterial small subunit ribosomal RNA
Source: RNAcentral
UUGAACGCUGGCGGCAGGCCUAACACAUGCAAGUCGAGCGGAUGAAGGGAGCUUGCUCCUGGAUUCAGCGGCGGACGGGUGAGUAAUGCCUAGGAAUCUGCCUGGUAGUGGGGGAUAACGUCCGGAAACGGGCGCUAAUACCGCAUACGUCCUGAUGGAGAAAGUGGGGGAUCUUCGGACCUCACGCUAUCAGAUGAGCCUAGGUCGGAUUAGCUAGUUGGUGGGGUAAAGGCCUACCAAGGCGACGAUCCGUAACUGGUCUGAGAGGAUGAUCAGUCACACUGGAACUGGGACACGGUCCAGACUCCUACGGGAGGCAGCAGUGGGGAAUAUUGGACAAUGGGCGAAAGCCUGAUCCAGCCAUGCCGCGUGUGUGAAGAAGGUCUUCGGAUUGUAAAGCACUUUAAGUUGGGAGGAAGGGCAGUAAGUUAAUACCUUGCUGUUUUGACGUUACCAACAGAAUAAGCACCGGCUAACUUCGUG